GGCCAAGCUAUUAAGGGCAAACGGCGGAUGCCUUGGCACUAAGAGGCGAUGAAAGACGUGGCAAGCUGCGAUAAGCCUCGGGGAGCUGCUAAACAAGCUUUGAUCCGGGGAUUUCUGAAUGGGGAAACCUGUUGCGGGUAGUGCCGCGACAUCUGCAGCUGAAUACAUAGGCUGCAGAAGCCAACGAGGGGAACUGAAACAUCUUAGUACCCUCAGGAAAAGAAAACAACCGUGAUUUCCAAAGUAGCGGCGAGCGAAAUGGAAACAGCCCAAACCGAAUACGUGUCAAGCUCGGAGGCGUUGCGUAUUCGGGGUCGUGGGAAUUGACUGGACGGGUCUCCGAACCUGUCGGGAAGUUACAAAUCUAAUGGAUAUCCGAAUGGUCUGGAAAGGCCAACCAUAGACGGUGAAAGUCCGGUAGGGAAAAUUCAUCAGACUUCCUGGGUCGAUUUCCCAAGUACCACGGGGCACGAGAAAUCCUGUGGGAAUUCGGGAGGACCAUCUCCUAAGGCUAAAUACUACUUAGUGACCGAUAGUGAACCAGUACCGUGAGGGAAAGGUGAAAAGCACCCCGGUGAGGGGAGUGAAAUAGUACCUGAAACCGUUUGCCUACAAGCGGUGGGAGCACGAUGAAUGUCGCUUCGGCGUCAUUCCGUGUGACUGCGUGCCUUUUGCAUAAUGAGUCAGCGAGUUAUUCUACGUAGCAAGGUUAAGCCGUGAGGUGUAGCCGUAGCGAAAGCGAGUCUGAACAGGGCGAAUAGUUGCGUGGAGUAGACCCGAAACCAAGUGAUCUAUCCAUGGCCAGGGUGAAGCGCAAGUAAAAUUGCGUGAAGGCCCGAACCGUUGUGGGUUGAAAACCGCUCGGAUGAGCUGUGGAUAGGGGUGAAAGGCCAAACAAACUUGGAAAUAGCUGGUUCUCCCCGAAAUAUAUUUAGGUAUAGCCUUGCGCAAUUAAGUGACGGGGGUAGAGCACUGGAUGGGCUAGGGGUCCUACCAGAUUACCAAACCUAACCAAACUCCGAAUACCGUCAACUUUUAUCGCAGGAGUCAGACUACGGGAGCUAAGUUCCGUGGUCGAGAGGGAAACAGCCCAGAUCGCCAGCUAAGGUCCCCAAAUAUGUGCUAAGUGGGAAAGGAUGUGGAAAUGCACAGACAACCAGGAGGUUGGCUUAGAAGCAGCCACCCUUUAAAGAAAGCGUAAUAGCUCACUGGUCGAGUGAGUCUGCGCCGAAAAUGUAACGGGGCUCAAGCACAUUACCGAAGCUGCGGGUUUCUUCGAUUCGUCGAAGGAGCGGUAGGGGAGCAUUCUGUAUGGGACUGAAGGUCGACCGUAAGGACGGCUGGACUGUACAGAAGAGACCAUGCUGACAUGAGUAACGAUAAAGCGGGUGAAAAACCCGCUCGCCGAAAGCCCAAGGUUUCCUGAGUAAAGCUAAUCUGCUCAGGGUUAGUCGAUCCCUAAGCCGAGGCCGAAAGGCGUAGGUGAUGGCAAACAGGUUAAUAUUCCUGUACCACCAGACCAUCGUUUGAGUGAUGGGGGGACGCAGAAGGGUAGGUCAGCCGUCUGUUGGAUUAGGCGGUUUAAGCGUGUAGGCUGAAAGGACAGGCAAAUCCGUCCUUUCUAUUAAGGCUGAGACGUGAUGACGAGUCCGCUUGCGGACACAAAGUGAUUGAUCCCAUGCUGCCAAGAAAAGCCUCUAGCGAGAUGAUCAGGUGAUCGUACCGAAAACCGACACAGGUGGGCUGGGAGAGAAUCCCGAGGCGCUUGAGAGAACCCUGGUUAAGGAACUCGGCAAAAUAACACCGUAACUUCGGGAGAAGGUGUGCCUCCAUUAGGUGAAGCGACUUGCUUGCUGAGCCGAAGGGGGUCGCAGAGAAAUGGCGGUAGCGACUGUUUACUAAAAACAUAGGACUCUGCUAAGUCGCAAGACGAUGUAUAGGGUCUGACGCCUGCCCGGUGCUGGAAGGUUAAGGGGAGAUGUUAGCUUUCGAGCGAAGCAUUGAACCGAAGCCCCAGUAAACGGCGGCCGUAACUAUAACGGUCCUAAGGUAGCGAAAUUCCUUGUCGGGUAAGUUCCGACCUGCACGAAUGGCGUAACGACUUCCGCACUGUCUCAACCAGGGACUCAGUGAAAUUGUAGUGGCGGUGAAGAUGCCGUCUACCCGCGAAAAGACGGAAAGACCCCGGCACCUUUACUAUAGCUUGACAUUGAAUUUUGGAAUAGUAUGUGUAGGAUAGGUGGGAGGCGUCGAAGCCGGAACGCUAGUUUCGGUGGAGCCACCCUUGAAAUACCACCCUUGCUAUUUUAGAAUUCUAACUUCAACCCGUUAUCCGGGUGAAGGACAGUGUCUGGUGGGUAGUUUGACUGGGGCGGUCGCCUCCCAAAGAGUAACGGAGGCGCGCGAAGGUUCCCUCAGGCUGAUUGGAAACCAGCCGUGGAGUGUAAAGGCAUAAGGGAGCUUGACUGCGAGAGAGACAUCUCGAGCAGGUACGAAAGUAGGUCUUAGUGAUCCGGCGGUUCCGCAUGGAAGGGCCGUCGCUCAACGGAUAAAAGGUACGCCGGGGAUAACAGGCUAAUCGCAUCCAAGAGUUCACAUCGACGAUGCGGUUUGGCACCUCGAUGUCGGCUCAUCACAUCCUGGGGCUGGAGCAGGUCCCAAGGGUUCGGCUGUUCGCCGAUUAAAGUGGUACGUGAGCUGGGUUUAAAACGUCGUGAGACAGUUUGGUCCCUAUCUUUCGCGGGCGUAGGAUAUUUGAGGGGAUCUGUCCCUAGUACGAGAGGACCGGGAUGGACGAACCAAUGGUGCUCCAGUUGUCGCGCCAGCGGCAUAGCUGGGUAGCUAAGUUCGGAAAGGAUAACCGCUGAAAGCAUCUAAGCGGGAAGCCUACCCCAAGAUUAGAUAUCCCGCAACUUCGGUUGCCUAAAGACCCCUCGAAGAUGACGAGGUUGAUAGGCCGGGUGUGCAAGCACAGUAAUGUGUUCAGCUUACCGGUACUAAUAGGUCGUGAGGCUUGGCCAC
RNAcentral lists this ribosomal RNA (3021 nucleotides) under Desulfatitalea alkaliphila. RNAcentral's name for it is "Bacterial large subunit ribosomal RNA". It matches the Rfam family "Bacterial large subunit ribosomal RNA". Lineage: Bacteria; Pseudomonadati; Thermodesulfobacteriota; Desulfobacteria; Desulfobacterales; Desulfosarcinaceae. The record is from Rfam by way of RNAcentral.